CCUACGGAGGCUGCAGUGAGGAAUAUUGGUCAAUGGACGAGAGUCUGAACCAGCCAAGUAGCGUGAAGGAUGACUGCCCUAUCGGUUGUAAACUUCUUUUAUCAAGGAAUAAAACGAGGCACGUGUGCCUUUUUCCAUGUUCUCUAUGAAUAAGGAUCGGCUAACUCCGUGCCAGCAGCCGCGGUAAUACGGAGGAUCCGAGCGUUAUCCGGAUUUAUUGGGUUUAAAGGGAGCGUAGAUGGGUUGUUAAGUCAGUUGUGAAAGUUUGCGGCUCAACCCUAAAAUGGCAAGUGAUACUGGCAGUCUUGAGUACAGUUGAGGUAAGCGGAAUGCGUGGUGUAGCGGUGAAAUGCUUAGAUAUCACGAAGAACCCCGAUUGCGAAGGCAGCUUACUAAACUGUGACUGACAUUGAUGCUCGAAAGUGUGGGUAUCAAACAGGAUUAGAUACCCGGGUAGUC
Molecule: ribosomal RNA, 459 nt
Filed under: uncultured bacterium
Lineage: Bacteria
Description: partial 16S ribosomal RNA
Rfam family: Bacterial small subunit ribosomal RNA
Source: RNAcentral